RNAcentral lists this unclassified non-coding RNA (550 nucleotides) under Hevea brasiliensis (rubber tree). Lineage: Eukaryota; Viridiplantae; Streptophyta; Magnoliopsida; Malpighiales; Euphorbiaceae. The record is from RNAcentral.
UGGUGACUCCGGCAACGGUCAUUCCAGAGGAUUCUGCUGUAAAGUAUAGUGGCGUCUGGCCAUGGGAACUGAAGAGCCAAAAGAUCCAUUCAAGGGGGUUGACUGGAAAGCCAUAGGCGGUGAAUUGCAGAAGGACCCUAGUGCUGGUGCUAAACCAGUCAUAAAGAAACGGUUACCAAAAAAGAUUAGACAAAUUCCAGAUUACUAUUUCCUUCCUCGAAGAUCUCUACCCUCUGCAAUUGCAUUCUAUGGGGCAUGUAUUGCAGGUGGAAUUGGUGCUGGUAUGCUUCUUGAGAUCUGGAUAAACAAGAAAGUUAAAGAGGAUGGAGGCGUCAUAUGGGAGUUUGAUAAAUAAAGUCUGGAUUUCAUUGCAUCAGCUCCUCUCUGGGCUUCCAUUGUUCCUUCGCUGGUAUGAUGUUAUCUCUUAUUAUUCGUUGGAAUUACAACUGCAGGGGAAACUAUGAGAUUGAUUACCAUAAGCGUUUCUUUUUAACUUGAAACUUCAAAUUAGUGACUAAAGUUUCAUACCAUGAUGGAGGACCCUUCAAUU